CACAACCUCAUGGUUCUUAGUAGGAUUCAUUAACCACUGCGCCGCGAUGGGAACUCCGAUGGCCCUGUGCAUUUAUGCAGCACCAGCAAAGCCGCUCUGAGGAGCCUGGCGACCACGGCCCCCGCAUUGAGGUCAUACUGUCAUUUUGCCCUUUCACUCCCCUUCUCUAGAAAGCACGGAGUCCGGGCAGAUAUGAAACCACUCCACUCAAUCCCGCGAUCUCCUCUGGGCUUGUAACUUCAGUGAAUUGCAUUUUUUCAUAAUUACAGGAAAAAUAGCAAAUUGGCAAACAUCAGGAAGUGGGUACACCCCCUCUGAUUUACAAGGAAGAGUGCAGGGUGACUUUACAGCUCAGGAAUUCAGUGAAAUAAAUUUAUGGUUAGAAAAAUUCAUGUUCUUAAUGUGACGAAGGUCCUUUAACUUUUAACACGCUUCUCCGGUUAAGCUGCCUAAGACUCUCACGGAAAUGGCUGUCUACAGCUGCUGCAAAUUGAUUUAUCCCCAGAUAAUAGUCAGAGCUGCAGACCGAAUUGUUGGAAAGAAACCGUUCUUUAAUUUCGGUGUUUGGGGCUGUCCAUACAUUGUGGACAUACAUUCCUGUACAUGAGCAGAGAUUGGCAGUGGCCUGACUUUUCCAGGCAAUCAGGGCAAUUUUCCUCCCCCCCUGGUGGGGGGGCUGCACGGCUGAUAAUCUCCCCAUAGAGUCCCCCCCCCCCCCCACUGGGGCCUGCAGCCCCCAUCAGCUCCUUCCUUGGCAUUCGCGAAACUCUGAGCAACCUACGUGAGAGUGGAUGGCGUGGAUGUCUGUGGCAAUACUAAUUUCUCUUUCGAAAAUUAUAUUUUGAGGAUCUGCUGAAAUCGUUGGUCCUGGGAGAGGGAUGAAUCUGCUCCACUGAAGGCGUUUUCCUGGCACGACAGAGGCGCCGCCCCAACCCUGACGCGGUCGUGGCUCCCCUGGGGCUGCCCCUCCAUCUCCAGAGGGAGCAGAGCGAGAUGUCAACCCCUGGCAAGACCUAGGACUUCAUUCAGUGACUGUUGGCUGAGCACCUACUAUGUGCAAAGCAGUGUGUCAGGUCCUGGGCACAGGGGUGCACGAGACAAGACAUGUCCACCCCUUGGGAUGACAGUCCAUCGAGAGAUAGAAAAUGAGACAAGCAAAGAGAUGCUUUGCGUAGCCUCUGUCAAGUACCUACCUGAUCCUGCGGAGAUGCUGCCAGACCUGGAGAUGCUGUGAUGCAGAAGAUGUGGCUGCUCUCUCUUCAGGAAGCACGAUUUGGCUCGUGAGACAGCGAUGGACACAUCAGCUGCUGGGACGAGCCUGGCUGACAUGUAUGAGUACCUGUGCUCAGAGAUGCAUUCUUGGACGCAAACCUAAUAUACUGGACACCUUUCCAUGGCGCCCAUCUGAAGGCUUCAAUGUGUGGGAUGCAUUCCUUUCUUCAUCCAGACAACUCUUCACUGAGGCCUAGGACAUGCUAA
Sus scrofa (pig) is the source of this 1479-nucleotide long non-coding RNA. RefSeq lists it as uncharacterized. NCBI's taxonomy places the organism in Eukaryota, Metazoa, Chordata, Mammalia, Artiodactyla, Suidae. The record is from RefSeq and is a predicted model, not a curated record.